UGGGGAAUAUUGCACAAUGGGCGCAAGCCUGAUGCAGCCAUGCCGCGUGUAUGAAGAAGGCCUUCGGGUUGUAAAGUACUUUCAGCGGGGAGGAAGGUGUUGUGGUUAAUAACCGCAGCAAUUGACGUUACCCGCAGAAGAAGCACCGGCUAACUCCGUGCCAGCAGCCGCGGUAAUACGGAGGGUGCAAGCGUUAAUCGGAAUUACUGGGCGUAAAGCGCACGCAGGCGGUCUGUUAAGUCAGAUGUGAAAUCCCCGGGCUCAACCUGGGAACUGCAUCUGAUACUGGCAGGCUUGAGUCUCGUAGAGGGGGGUAGAAUUCCAGGUGUAGCGGUGAAAUGCGUAGAGAUCUGGAGGAAUACCGGUGGCGAAGGCGGCCCCCUGGACGAAGACUGACGCUCAGGUGCGAAAGCGUGGGGAGCAAACA
Molecule: ribosomal RNA, 427 nt
Filed under: uncultured Enterobacteriaceae bacterium
Lineage: Bacteria; Pseudomonadati; Pseudomonadota; Gammaproteobacteria; Enterobacterales; Enterobacteriaceae
Description: bacterial SSU rRNA
Rfam family: Bacterial small subunit ribosomal RNA
Source: RNAcentral